GUUUUGGCUUGGGCGGCAACGCGCUUCGAACCUGGUCAGGUCGUGACAGAAGCAGCCAUAAGAAGUUAGCGUUGGGCGCCCAAGCCGGUAAGCU
Molecule: signal recognition particle RNA, 94 nt
Filed under: Coriobacteriales bacterium
Lineage: Bacteria; Bacillati; Actinomycetota; Coriobacteriia; Coriobacteriales
Description: signal recognition particle sRNA small type
Rfam family: Bacterial small signal recognition particle RNA
About the family: The signal recognition particle (SRP) is a universally conserved ribonucleoprotein involved in the co-translational targeting of proteins to membranes. Archaeal SRP consists of a 7S RNA and homologues of the eukaryotic SRP19 and SRP54 proteins.
Source: RNAcentral